RNAcentral lists this long non-coding RNA (1053 nucleotides) under Numida meleagris (helmeted guineafowl). Its description in RNAcentral is "lncRNA (ENSNMEG00000018368.1)". The record is from RNAcentral. Lineage: Eukaryota; Metazoa; Chordata; Aves; Galliformes; Numididae.
UUUCUUUCCAAGUUCUGCCUUUGCUCAGUUUCAUUCCAUUUUUCCUCCCCCAUGGGCCACAUUAAACAGUUUUUCCUAUUCUUUGUAUUUAUGUCCUUCAGACACUUAAGGAUGCUUAUCAUUGAUCCUUCAGAUACAGAGAAAGAAAAAAUUGCUUCAGUAGCCGAAGAUGCAGGAGAUACAGCAGUUUUAACAGCUGUAUGUAUCUUAGUAAACUGUAUCACAACAUACUUGCAAAAUAUAUGAAGAACUAAACAUGCAUAUAUAUAUAGAUAUAAAAUUUUUGAGCUUAAGUGGAUUUUUUUUGAGUGUUUUAAUCUUUUCAGUUGACCUGUGUUAGAACAGUUGGAUCAGACCGGAGACUUUGAAUCAUCCAAAAUUUGUUCUGCUUUGAAGACAAACCACCCUCUUAACUGUUUACUUCUUUCUGCUUAAUGCAGUGUCAGCUGGGGGACCAGAUCUGUCUCAUUUCCUAGUAGCAUACUGAAAUAGUUUUCUAUGAGAAAUGCUGCGGUUUUUUACUGCACAAAUACAAUCCUUUGCUGAGAUUAUAAUUGUUUCCUACCAUCAGUGAUUCUUCUUUUUUCUUGUUCUACUUUCUAGGUCUCAGUAUUGUUCUGUGUCUUGGAACUGCAGGUUUGCCACAAAAGAAAAUUUGGUUGUUUCAAGAUUGCACUUUUGCAUUAAUGAACUGUCAAGAAACCCCAGGGAAUACAACCAAAGAGAUAGAUAACAAAAUGAAGAUGAGAUAUUCAGAAAUGUCCAGAUUGCCUUAUAACACAUAUGGUCAACAUUUAACGUGUUGUGCUCUGCAGACUAAAGUCACCCAUUUUACUUCAGUGACAGUGUCUAUGCAACACCAGCAACCAAGUGUCUCAACACACUGCAGAAACAUUAAUCUUUAUAAACAGAUGCUUAUGACUUUGGUUUUUCAACUGUCUUGCUGUUGUCUGUAUAAAGGAAUGCCUUUGAGUAUUUGAGAAGCUUUGGUAAAAGCUGCAUUUAUGUUAAUUAAGAUUUUUCUUUUACAAAUAAAGAUAUUUUACUCUUGCA